GACGAACGCUGGCGGCGUGCUUAACACAUGCAAGUCGAACGGAAAGGCCCUGCUUUUGUGGGGUUCUCGAGUGGCGAACGGGUGAGUAACACGUGAGUAACCUGCCCUUGACUUUGGGAUAACUUCAGGAAACUGGGGCUAAUACCGGAUAGGAGCUCCUGCUGCAUGGUGGGGGUUGGAACGUUUCGGCGGUUGGGGAUGGACUCGCGGCUUAUCAGCUUGUUGGUGGUGUAGUGGCUUACCAAGGCUUUGACGGGUAGCCGGCCUGAGAGGGUGACCGGCCACAUUGGGACUGAGAUAGGGCCCAGACGCCUACGGGAGGCAGCAGUGGGGAAUAUUGCACAAUGGGCGGAAGCCUGAUGCAGCAACGCCGCGUGCGGGAUGACGGCCUUCGGGUUGUAAACCGCUUUCGCCUGUGACGAAGCGUGAGUGACGGUAAUGGGUAAAGAAGCACCGGCUAACUACGUG
RNAcentral lists this ribosomal RNA (468 nucleotides) under uncultured bacterium. RNAcentral describes it as "partial 16S ribosomal RNA". It matches the Rfam family "Bacterial small subunit ribosomal RNA", at positions 28 to 507 of the family's 1533-position model. The record is from RNAcentral.